AUGUGCCGUUGCAGCUAUUAAGUCUGCAUGUGGAGACCUGUACGAAGCCAGAAGUUCAUGAGAUCCACUCUGACAAUGAUGAUGUUGAUGAAGGGGCUCUACUGCAGCAAUCUAAUUUGGAGAGUAUGGUGAGCAGACUGCAAUCUCCUCUUCACCAACCCCCCUUGCGUAUUCACAUUUAGGGCUACACUAAGUCUCUAACAUUUAUCCUUUAUUUGCAAGAUUCCACAG
Molecule: long non-coding RNA, 231 nt
Organism: Sander lucioperca (pikeperch)
Lineage: Eukaryota; Metazoa; Chordata; Actinopteri; Perciformes; Percidae
Exons: 3
Source: RefSeq, a predicted model, not a curated record